Molecule: ribosomal RNA, 405 nt
Filed under: uncultured bacterium
Lineage: Bacteria
Description: bacterial SSU rRNA
Rfam family: Bacterial small subunit ribosomal RNA
Source: RNAcentral
GAUGAACGCUAGCGGCAGGCUUAAUACAUGCAAGUCGAGGGGCAGCAGUCCCGCAGCAAUGCGGGAGCUGGCGACCGGCAAACGGGUGCGGAACACGUACAGAACCUUCCUUCGAGCGGGGAAUAGCCCAGAGAAAUUUGGAUUAAUACCCCAUAGCAUUACGAAGUGGCAUCACUUUGUAAUUAAAGAUUUAUCACUCGAAGAUGGCUGUGCGGCUGAUUAGGUAGUUGGCGGAGUAACGGCCCCACCAAGCCUUCGAUCAGUAACUGGUGUGAGAGCACGACCAGUCACACGGGCACUGAGACACGGGCCCGACUCCUACGGGAGGCAGCAGUAAGGAAUAUUGGUCAAUGGACGAAAGUCUGAACCAGCCAUGCCGCGUGGAGGAUGAAGGUCCUCUGUAUU